GACGUAGGGAGCGAGCGUUGUCCGGAUUCAUUGGGCGUAAAGGGUGCGUAGGCGGCCUUAUAAGUCAGUGCUGAAAUAUCCCGGCUUAACCGGGAGGGUGGCAUUGAUACUGUAGGGCUUGAGUAAAGUUGAGGUAGGCGGAAUUGACGGUGUAGCGGUGAAAUGCUUAGAUAUCGUCAAGAACACCGAUAGUGUAGACAGCUUACUAGCUUAACUGACGCUGAGGCACGAAAGUGUGGGGAUCAAACAGG
This 251-nucleotide ribosomal RNA is filed under the name uncultured bacterium. Its description in RNAcentral is "partial 16S ribosomal RNA". It matches the Rfam family "Bacterial small subunit ribosomal RNA", at positions 524 to 776 of the family's 1533-position model. The record is from RNAcentral.